Molecule: long non-coding RNA, 2828 nt
Organism: Triticum aestivum (bread wheat)
Lineage: Eukaryota; Viridiplantae; Streptophyta; Magnoliopsida; Poales; Poaceae
Exons: 4
Source: RefSeq, a predicted model, not a curated record
UUCUUCCUACCCUUGUCCUCCGAGAACGACGGGGACAAGGGAGGCGGCGGCGGCACUGUCCAGCAGUGGGGAAGGAGAAUGGGGAACGGGAAGAAAGAUUGAGUUCGUGUGUUGUGUGUGUGAAUAAAAGUAUUUCAAUGGGCCAAGCACAAAAAACAGUGCAAAAUAAAUUACAAAUUUCUACUAUUAAAGAAGAAUCGAACGUCGUGAUGGUUCAACCUCCCGAUGGUUCGACCUCCGCCUCCUAUCGAUCGACCUCUCCCCCCACCCUUCGUACGCACGAUUAAAAAAAUCAGGAAAACUAUCCCUCACGUGAAAAGAAGAAAAAUAAUCCAUCGCAACAAAUAUCGGGAGAAAACAACUGCAAAGCGAUCGUGCGCACGCACGACAUGCACGAUAGCAAAAGCCGUCCUCCUCUCCUCUCUCCUCGAGCUACCGUCCUGUGUUCCCCACCGGCGAGACCGCAGGUCCCCGUUCCCUCCUUCGACUCCGCCGUCUAAAUCCUAGGGUGUCGCAGCACUGGAUCCGUCACAGAACUUCUCGAGACUCUCCUUCCCGCACGAUCUCGAGCAGCCGCCGCCGUAACCGUCCCAGCAUCUGCGCCCGUUCACCCCCCUGCGAGCCGGGCGGCCGGGCCUCUGCUGCAGCCAAAAGACGCCGGCGACCGAGCAGCUGCCGUCCCUCCUCCCCGCACGCCCAAGUCCUUAACGCGCGCCCUGCCCAAGCUACUCCUCUUCAUGCCCCCUAUCAGCCGCGAUGAUGGUGUUCGUCGACCUGCAGCAGUUGCCCGAUCAUUUGUGUAUUCUCUCAGGCGAGCUUCUCUCUCCCCAGUUGAUGCCUCUUGUUGCCAUUCAUUCACCGGUUUGGUGAGCGUGCGGUUUGAUGUGUGCGCUUGUGAUUUUUUCUUUGCAUGAAGCUAGCAACCGUGAAUGAAUCUGGGAUGAUGGAUUUAGCUUCGUGGAAGAUGAUUGUAGGUAAUCUUUAUAUAUAUGAAAAGCUAAAAUUUUCUGAUCCAUUACUGUUCCAAUAGCAAGGAAGGGUAACCUUACUCUAAUUAUGGUCAAUAGGUGGACUGUUGAGUUGCCGAUGUGUGAAUGUGAGUAAUUUUUUGCCUAUGUGCUUGGUUCAUGAACUGAUUGGAUAAUUGUCUUUCCACUGUUAUUCCGAACAAUUGUUUUAAAUCAACGAAAUUGCUUUUCUAAGGUAGUUGAUAUUUAUGCAGCUUCAACUUUGUUUUUUGCGAACAGAGAUUAUAGUUGUUUGUCUAGCUUCAAGGUUUAUUUGCUUGUGCUUGAUGAUAGCAUGGAUGAGCGGAUCCCACGGCGUGGUUCAGACGAUGAACCAGGGUACGGUUAUCUUGUUGACACUACAAAUUCAAGACAGAAAAUGUGAUUCAUUGGAGCUCAGUAAAGAGGUACAUGCCCAGGAAAUGGCAAUAUUGAUCUAGGUUUGCAAAGCGUUGUGUUGAGCUAUAUGAGGCCUCGUUUCAAUGGCUUCUUUAAACCGGCGCCUCUUUUUUCCCUUUGGUGUGUUUUCGAGUCUAUUUUUGUCAGUACCUACCCAAUAUAAUUCCUGAUAUAAUUUCCUUUUGUGAGUUGAACUAUGUGUUUGCAGGAUAUUCAGGUUAGGGAGAUCGAGAAGCUCCUCUAUAAGUUGACAAAGUUAUAGCAAAGAAAAAUCUGCAGGUGCGCAACUCUUGUAGGAGUUUCCACGAUCAAACUCAGCAGUCCUUCAGAUCACUGGCUUUCUAUACCCCCCUCCUCCGAUGGGACACACACAAAAUCAUUCUAAUUGAAUGUUUGUUUGAACAUUUAUGGUCUCCAUCAUCUCUAACAGUUUUAUAUCUCGAACAAAAGCGAGAAACCAGAAGUUGUAACCGAAGGCAACAUCUAUGAAAGACCAAAAAGCUCAUGGAGAAGGCAGAAAGUCACUUUGGAGGAUGAGCUCGAGUGAGCCCUAUAUUUUGAAUAGUGCCAAAAAGAGAAAAGCCAGGCUUUCCCAAUGAAUUUAGGUGUGGACCAACCUCGGACACCAACAACCAUGCAUGCUCCUGGUAUUCUCUUGCUUGGUUUCUUGUCACUGACCAUACAAGAGGUCCAUCAUAUAUAGUUGAAGUAUUUUAUCAUUAUAGAAGAACUAUAUUUUUCCUGAUAAGAUUUUAGUGUUUCUUAGUCUGUUUAUCAUACAAGUGAUGCACAACAUCAUCAUCAAUAUGAGAUGCUCAGACCAGCUGCUUUAGGAUACGAGGAUGUUUAAUAUAAUGUCAUUGUCAUACCAAGAAGGAUUUAGCUGAAGGUUUGUGAUUGAGGAGAAUGAACCGGUGAUAUUAACCUAAAGCGAGGGAUGGAACACCUCUUUGAAAUGCUCUGCAAAUGGAAACAUACAUGAAUAUGUUGAUCCUCAUUUUUUUCGGUCUCAGUGGAUAACAGUAAUAUGCAGAGCUGGAGGAAGACACCGUCGUUGCUCUUCAUGUGUGCCAGCUGAAUGUGAGGACACAGUUGCUCCAUUGUUUCAAUCCUUUAUUUCCAUCCGUCGGCUCUACUGGUAGGAACCUUGGUCAAGACAAAAUUAUGAACCCAUGCAUGGCAGUGGCAGCAAAACAUAGUCCAAAUGUCAAUAGAAAGGAAGUGGGAGUGUGUAGUGGUAAUAAAAUGGGAAGGGAGCCACCCCAUGUGUUUGUGACAACAUAGAAUGAAGAGUUUGUCUAUAUAUUUUUGUUCUGUACAAAUGAAAGGGUUGGGAUUGUAAUUGGUGAGUCACUAGGGUGCAUGUUGAUAGUAAGAGAGCCAGGACUUAAAUACAAUCUAAGCAAAAUUCAGAUUAUGAUU